CCUACGGGUGGCAGCAGUGGGGAAUUUUGCACAAUGGGGGAAACCCUGACGCAGCGACGCCGCGUGAAGGAAGCAGUAUUUCGGGAUGUAAACUUCUAUCAGCAGGGCAGAAAAUGACGGUACCUGCCUAAGAAGCACCGGCUAACUACGUGCCAGCAGCCGCGGUAAUACGGAGGGGGCAAGCGUUAUCCGGAUUUAUUGGGGGUAAAGGGAGCGUAGGCGGCGAGGUAAGUAUGAUGUGAAAGCCCGGGGCUCAACUUCGGGACUGCUUUUGAUACUGGAGGGCUAGAUUGCGGGAGAGGCAAGUGGAAUUCCUGGUGUAGCGGUGAAAUGCGUAGAUAUCAGGAGGAACACCAGUGGCGAAGGCGGCUUGCUGGACUGUAAAUGACGCUGAGGAACGAAAGCGUGGGGAGCAAACAGGAUUAGAUACCCGAGUAGUC
RNAcentral lists this ribosomal RNA (440 nucleotides) under uncultured bacterium. RNAcentral's name for it is "partial 16S ribosomal RNA". It matches the Rfam family "Bacterial small subunit ribosomal RNA", at positions 338 to 795 of the family's 1533-position model. The record is from RNAcentral.